RNAcentral lists this ribosomal RNA (3790 nucleotides) under Acidimicrobiia bacterium. RNAcentral's name for it is "23S ribosomal RNA". It matches the Rfam family "Bacterial large subunit ribosomal RNA". The record is from RNAcentral. Lineage: Bacteria; Bacillati; Actinomycetota; Acidimicrobiia.
AUCCAAGCUACUAAGGGUCCACGGUGGAUGCCUUGGCGUUAGGAGCCGAUGAAGGACGUGGCAGGCUGCGAUAAGCCUCGGGAAGCUGUCAAGCAAGCGUAGAUCCGAGGAUGUCCGAAUGGGGAAACCCGGCUGGGGUAAUGCCCAGUCACUCCGGUCUGAAUAUAUAGGGCCGGUAGAGGGAACUAGGGGAAUUGAAACAUCUCAGUACCCUGUAGGAAAAGAAAGCAAAAGCGACUCCCUGAGUAGUGGUGAGCGAAACGGGAAAAGCCUAAACCAGUGCGGUGUCAAAGCCCGACGGCGUUGCCGUACUGGUGUUGUGGGAGCCAUUUGAUGACUCGUCGGAGUUAUCAAGGAGUUACAAAAUCUGGUGAUAGUCGAACCAGGCUGGAAAGCCUGGCCGCAGAAGGUAAGAGCCCUGUAGACGAAAUCGCACAGAUCUCCUUAUGGAAUUCCCAAGUAUCACGGGGGAUAUCCCGUGUGAAUCUGCGAGGACCACCUCGUAAGGCUAAGUACUUCCUAACGACCGAUAGCGGACAAGUACCGUGAGGGAAAGGUGAAAAGCACCCCGGUGAGGGGAGUGAAAUAGAACCUGAAACCGUGGACUUACAAGCAGUGGGAGGGAUCUUCGGAUCCUGACCGCCUGCCUUUUGAAGAAUGAGCCGGCGAGUUAUUGGUGUGUGGCAAGGUUAAGACGUAUGUCGAAGCCGAAGCGAAAGCGAGUCUGAAUAGGGCGUACAGUCGCAUGCUAUAGACCCGAAGCCGAGUGAUCUAUCCAUGGGCAGGGUGAAGCGAGGGUAAGACCUCGUGGAGGCCCGAACCCACCUAGGUUGAAAACUGGGGGGAUGACCUGUGGAUAGGGGUGAAAGGCCAAACAAACUCGGUGAUAGCUGGUUCUCCCCGAAAUAGCUUUAGGGCUAGCGUCACGCGUUCCGCAUUGGGGGUAGAGCACUGAUUGGGCAAGGGGGCCGACAAGCUUACUGACCCCAGUCAAACUCCGAAUCUCAAUGCGCUAGAGCGUGGCAGUCAGACUGUGGGGGAUAAGCUCCAUGGUCGAAAGGGAAACAGCCCAGACCGCCAGCUAAGGCCCCUAAGUGUGUACUAAGUGGGAAACGAUGUGAAGUCGCCCAAACAGCCAGGAGGUUGGCUUAGAAGCAGCCACCCUUUAAAGAGUGCGUAACAGCUCACUGGUCGAGUGAUUUCGCGCGGAAAAUGUAACGGGGCUCAAGUACACCGCCGAAGCUGCGGAUUUCCGUCAAUAGCUCGGCCCAUUUCCUUCGGGAACUGGGUCUAGGCGACGGGAGUGGUAGGGGAGCGUCGAGCAGCCCAUGAAGCGGCGGCGGAAGCCAGCCGUGGAGGCUGUUCGAGUGCGAAUGCCGGCAUGAGUAGCGAAAGAGGAGUGAGAAUCUCCUCCGCCGAAUGUCCAAGGGUUCCUGGGGAAGGCUCGUCCGCCCAGGGUUAGUCGGGACCUAAGGCGAGGCCGAAAGGCGUAGUCGAUGGACAACUGGUUGAUAUUCCAGUACCACCAUAUGCGCGUUCAGGCUGAACCCAGUUUGCUAAGGAAAGCCCUUCGGGGCCUACCGACCCAACUGGUAUUAGGCCAGCAAUGGAGUGACGCGGACAGGUAAGCAGACCCGGGCGUUGGUUGACCCGGGGUAAGCGUGUAGGACGAGGGCUAGGUAAAUCCGGACCUCAUUAAGUCUGAGGCGCGAUGCCGACCCGUUUUAGGGGAAGCUGCCGAUCCUAUGCCGCCUAGAAAACCUUCUAGCGAGUUCGUAUGGUGCCCGUACCCCAAACCGACACAGGUGGACAAGUAGAGAAUACUAAGGCGAUCGAGAUAACUCUGGUUAAGGAACUCGGCAAAUUGGUCCCGUAACUUCGGGAGAAGGGACGCCCCGGUAAAGUCCAAGACUUCGCGUCUGAAGGCUUGAGGGGGCCGCAGUGACCUGGCCCAAACGACUGUUUACUAAAAACACAGCAGCGUGCUAAGUCGCAAGACGAUGUAUACGCUGUGACGCCUGCCCGGUGCCGGAAGGUUAAGGGGAUGGGUUAGCUUCGGCGAAGCUCUGAACUUAAGCCCCGGUAAACGGCGGCCGUAACUAUAACGGUCCUAAGGUAGACGCACUCUUAGUGCAGAGUGCCUGCCCCCCGCGACAGCGAUGUUGCGGUGCGCAGCUGGCUAUAUGCUGGAAACCCCGUGUAUCUGACGGUACUCGUUUGUGUCACAACCAUCUGAGAUGGUGGGGGCAUGAGCAGUGAAAACCCGUUCAGUGCGGACAAUCAGCAGGAAAGGCCAGGAAUUGAGCAGUGGGUUGUCGGGUUCACCGACGGCGAAGGCUGCUUCUCGAUAUCGGUGGUACGAAAUCGAGGCUGUCGACUCGGUUGGCAAGUCCAACAUGAGUUUUCAGUCACACAACUCGCACCAUCACGGUCAGCUCUGGAGUUCCUUCGGGAGUACUUCGGAUGCGGAUCGAUCAUCGAGAACCGCCGGAACGACAAUCACCGGCACGAUCUGGCACGUUUCUCUGUGAAACGACGCUCAGAUCUUGUUGAUACGGUUGUUCCGUUCUUUGAACAACAUCCACUGAUUACCGCCAAGCAACACGACUUCGGGUUGUUCGCCAACGUCAUCGAAAUGAUGACUGCCGGCCGACAUCUGACUGAAGAAGGGUUGCGGUUGAUAGCGAUGACUACGGAACGUAUGAAUCGCCAGCAACGGUCUCAGUUUCUGGAAUCCUCAGAGGCCAUACGCCAGCCAACUCACGUCCGAUAGUGAGCUGAAGAUAUGGUCCGAGCCCUAUGGCGACAUAGGGAGCAACUCGAGCGAAAUUCCUUGUCGGGUAAGUUCCGACCUGCACGAAUGGCGUAACGAUUUGGGCACUGUCUCAACCAGAGACUCGGCGAAAUUGCAAUGUGAGUAAAGAUGCUCACUACCUGCGACAGGACGGAAAGACCCCGGAACCUUUACUGCAGCUUGGCAUUGGAGUCUGGUAUACGAUGUGUAGGAUAGGUGGGAGACUGUGAAGCAGCGGCGCUAGUUGUUGUGGAGUCAACCUUGGAAUACCACCCUUCGUAUAUAAGGCUUCUAACCUCGAUCCGUUAUCCGGAUCAGGGACAGUGCCUGGCGGGCAGUUUCACUGGGGCGGUGGCCUCCUAAAGAGUAACGGAGGCGCCCAAAGGUCCCCUCAGUCUGGUCGGCAAUCAGACGGCGAGUGCAAGGGCACAAGGGGGCUUGACUGCGAGACCUACAAGUCGAGCAGGGACGAAAGUCGGGCCUAGUGAUCCUACCGUGGCGUGUGGAAGCGCGGUAGCUCAACGGCUAAAAGGUACUCCGGGGAUAACAGGCUUAUACCCCCCAAGAGUCCAUAUCGACGGGGGUGUUUGGCACCUCGAUGUCGGCUCGUCGCAUCCUGGGGCCGGAGCAGGUCCCAAGGGUCGGGCUGUUCGCCCGUUAAAGCGGCACGCGAGCUGGGUUUAGAACGUCGUGAGACAGUUCGGUCCCUAUCCGUCGCAGGCGCAGGAGAUUUGAGAGGAGCUGUCCCUAGUACGAGAGGACCGGGAUGGACGAACCUCUGGUGUGCCAGUUGUUCUGCCAAGAGCACGGCUGGUUAGCUACGUUCGGACGGGAUAAGCGCUGAAAGCAUCUAAGUGCGAAGCCCACCUCGAGAUGAGAUCUCCCACCGGAUUAACCGGGUAAGGCCCCUGGUAGAUGACCAGGUAGAUAGGCCGGAAGUGGAAGCACAGUAAUGUGUGUAGCUGACCGGUACUAAUCGGCCGAGGGCUUGGAUUU